CUAUUACAAUGCUGGACCGUGGCUAUUGGAAUCCUAUCGAUUCCACCAAGUAUUUAUAUUAUAUACUACAUAUUUUUUUUAACAAAAUAUCAUCAUAUUCUUUGGCUCGUUCUUGAUAUAAUUUUCUUGAUAUUUUCCAUAGCCUAUGUAAUUACUUCCCUCUUGAUAGUUGUUGGCGCCUUAACCAAGCGUACCGGAUUGCUAAUUCCUUGGAUGACACUCGUUGUUGUAGGCUUCCUCAUAUAUUUUAACGCUCUCCUCCAAAUUUGGCCGGUUAUUCCAAGUCUAUUAGUAUCCGCACUUUUCCAAUUUAUCUCUGUUACUGUAGUGCUGGAGCUGUACAUCUUACUUAGAAACGAAUCACUCGUUGAAUGACAGCGCACUGUUUGGUAGACCAUCAGAAAUGCCACUGGUGCCUACCAAUUUGAAAAUGCUAACGGAUGUGUUCGGUAUCAGGAGCCGACUUCGACAUGCAUAUGAAGGCCUCACACUUUGCUAAAUCUGUCAAAUUCACUAUGAAACUAUGCCCAGCAUAAAAAACUGUUACGCAAGCUUUAAGAAACUGUUCCCAUACUUCACUAUAUUCAUAGCUUGCAUAUCAAUGACAGUAGGCACCUCCACUGUGGUAAUAUUAGCGUUCUCAAAUGAAAAAGAAUGGAUGCUGAUCGUGGAUAUAUGCUUGGGAAUCGUGGCAAUAAUUUAUACCUUUGCGUCGCUAUUGCUUCUCCUUGGUGUCCUAAUGAAACGAGUCCAUUUAUUCAUCCCCUAUAUAGUUUUCAUAGUUGCGGGUAUCGUCGUAUUCACAUUUGUCAUUGAUAUAUUUAUGCAAUUUAAUACUAGUCUUCUAAUUGCUGCAGUCGUGAACUUUGUAUUCAUAGCGAUUGUGAUCGAGCUAUACAAUAUAAAAACCAGAAUUCCACCACCACCUGUACGGGACAGAAAUCAUACCGAAAGUUUCGCAGCAAGUACAACGGCAGGCGCAGUUUGAGGGGAUAAGCAAUUGUUUUUUAAUCUACAUACAUAUAUGUAAAAAAUGAGCAAGAGUGCUCGUUUGCAUCGAGUGCUUUGGUAGCCUUAAUAAUUAUUGGAAGCAAAUUAUAAAUACAGGAAUGUCGGCUUGGAAAAAUAAAACAAAGCCUUUUGAGUUUCGGGCGGUGUACACCACUUACUAAUUUAUACUUCAAUUAUUUAUUAAACAAGUGUACCAAUGUAUGUAUGUGUAGAAUAAAUUUAUAAAUUUACAAUAAAAACAGUUGUA
Molecule: long non-coding RNA, 1258 nt
Organism: Scaptodrosophila lebanonensis
Lineage: Eukaryota; Metazoa; Arthropoda; Insecta; Diptera; Drosophilidae
Exons: 6
Source: RefSeq, a predicted model, not a curated record